This 1217-nucleotide ribosomal RNA is filed under the name uncultured Rhizaria. Its description in RNAcentral is "SSU rRNA". It matches the Rfam family "Eukaryotic small subunit ribosomal RNA", at positions 577 to 1804 of the family's 1831-position model. The record is from RNAcentral.
CGGUAACUCUAGCUCCAAUAGCGUAUACUAAAGUUGUUGCAGUUAAAAAGCUCGUAGUUGGAUUUCUGCGGGGACGGAGCGGCCGGUCGCAACUUGCGACUCGAGCUAGCGCUUUCCCCGCAUCCUGCCGCGAACCGUGCUACCAUUAGUUUGGUGGCGCUGGGGAUCGGCUCGAUUACUUUGAGAAAAAUAGAGUGUUCAAAGCAGGCCACACGCCUUGAAUAAGUUAGCAUGGAAUAAUGACUAAGGACUUUGGUUCUUUUCGUUGGUGUUCGGGACUGAAGUAAUGAUUGAUAGGGACAGUUGGGGCGGUCCGUAUUCCAAAGCGAGAGGUGAAAUUCUUAGACCUUCGGAAGACGAACAGCUGCGAAAGCGUUCCGCAAGGAUGUUCCCUUUGAUCAAGAACGAAAGUUGGGGGAUCGAAGACGAUCAGAUACCGUCGUAGUCUCAACUAUAAACUAUACCAGCUAGGGAUCGGCCAACGUUUAAUUUAUCGACUUGGUCGGCACCUUAUGAGAAAUCAAAGCAUCUGGGUUCCGGGGGGAGUAUGGUCGCAAGGCUGAAACUUAAAGGAAUUGACGGAAGGGCACCACCAGCCGUGGAGCCUGUGGCUUAAUUUGACUCAACACGGGAAAACUUACCAGGUCCGGACAUAGUAAGGAUUGACAGAUUGAUAGCUCUUUCUUGAUUCUGUGGGUGGUGGUGCAUGGCCGUUUUUAGUCGGUGGAUGUGAUCUGUCUGCUUAAUUGCGUUAACGGACGAGACCCCAGCCUGCUAAAUAGCGCGGCCGAGCUUUGCUCGGUGCGAGCUUCUUAGAGGGACCAUGAUGCGCGAUAGCACAAGGAAGUUUGGGGCAACAACAGGUCUGUGAUGCCCUUAGAUGUUCUGGGCCGCACACGGGCUACACUGGCGCCUGCAACGAGCAUAUCAGCUGGCCCGAGAGGGUCUUGGCUAAUCUUUGGAACCGGCGCCGUGCUUGGGAUUGACCAUUGCAAUUGUUGGUCAUGCAACGAGGAAUGCCUUGUAAACGCGAGUCAUCAGCUCGCAUUGAAUACGUCCCUGCCCUUUGUACACACCGCCCGUCGCUCCUACCGAUGAAUGUUCCGAUGAAAUUUUCGGAGAGCACCAGAGAACGGGGCUCCGCCUUGCAGAUCUGGAGGCUCAAAGUCACUUAAAUCUGAACAUUUCGAGGAAGGAGAAGUCGUAACAAGGUAACC